UGAGGAAUAUUGGUCAAUGGGCGGUAGCCUGAACCAGCCAAGUAGCGUGAAGGAUGAAGGUUCUAUGGAUUGUAAACUUCUUUUAUAAAGGAAUAAAGUGAGGCACGUGUGCCUUUUUGUAUGUACUUUAUGAAUAAGGAUCGGCUAACUCCGUGCCAGCAGCCGCGGUAAUACGGAGGAUCCGAGCGUUAUCCGGAUUUAUUGGGUUUAAAGGGAGCGUAGAUGGGUUGUUAAGUCAGUUGUGAAAGUUUGCGGCUCAACCGUAAAAUUGCAAUUGAUACUGGCGUCCUUGAGUACAGUUGAGGUGGGCGGAAUUCGUGGUGUAGCGGUGAAAUGCUUAGAUAUCACGAAGAACUCCUAUUGCGAAGGCAGCUCACUAAACUGCAACUGACAUUGAGGCUCGAAAGUGUGGGUAUCAAACAGGAUUAGAUACC
RNAcentral lists this ribosomal RNA (434 nucleotides) under uncultured bacterium. RNAcentral's name for it is "bacterial SSU rRNA". It matches the Rfam family "Bacterial small subunit ribosomal RNA", at positions 355 to 786 of the family's 1533-position model. The record is from RNAcentral.